This is a long non-coding RNA of Mesocricetus auratus (golden hamster), 4047 nucleotides long. RefSeq lists it as uncharacterized. Lineage: Eukaryota; Metazoa; Chordata; Mammalia; Rodentia; Cricetidae. The transcript is spliced from 4 exons. The record is from RefSeq and is a predicted model, not a curated record.
UGGCCUGGCUGCUGCCUCUGUCUGGAAUGUUCUUCUCAGGCCUUGCUCAUACCUUUUCAUCUGGGUCAGUUCCUGCUCUGCGUUCAAUGUCAGCCUACCUCCUCAAGGUAUCUCUUGACUCUGAGAAGUUUGCUGCCAUUUCCGGAUGUCCCGGUUCUCCCUGUAGCUCGAUCACCACGUCGUCUGUGAAAGGCCCUGCCACCUGAUGGAUUCUCCCAGGGCUCUCAAGCCUGUGCCCCUCCCAACUGCUCAUCGGAGCUUCUCAAAGCAGGGCCUCCUUUGACUCAGCUGUCCCUGAAAAUGGCUGAGGACAUCAACACUAAUUGGACAUGUCCUCUCAUCAGCAAGGGGCAGGGGCCUCUCUGAUGAGCCAGCUGGUGAAAACCAGAGCCUGGGCUCCCUGUAGAACGUGGCUGCUAUACUCAGGCUAUUAGCUUGGACCCCAAGGUCAGGAAAUCAGCCCUGGAUCCAGGCUGUGUCAGUGGAGAGCCAUGUUGCACAGAACGCGAUACAAGUCUGAUGUUGUUGAAGGAAGCUCAGCUGGAGCCUGAACGCCAUGGUCCUGAUGUAAGGACUGACUCUCUAGUGAUGUCAUGGGUCCUGCAGAUGCCCCCAAGAGGCCAUGAAACUGGAAUAUCACUGGUGGUCUGAGGGGCAUGUCAGACAAAUGCCACCUUCUCAAUAUGUGUCCCUGAUUCUUAGAGAGUCCUGUGAUGCCGUAUGCACAGUGUAGCUCUCAUGAGGUCCCCAGGAGCCUGGCAUCAUUGAAUCAGUCUGGAAAGCAUGGUGCGCUACACGGGACCGGCCAACACCAACCAUUUAUUCAUCAGCUGGCACAUCUGUUUGUCUGUGCACACUCUGGCAUGUCUUCCAAAAACAUGGCAGUUAAGCUGGGCUAUGGCAUACAGAGUAGCAUAUAAAGAAGCCUACAGGCUGAGAAGUCAAGCCAAGUCAAGCUCAAACCAAGGAAAGAAACAAGUCUACAUUCUGCUGAUAAAUGGAGUCACCUGCUUGGUAACUUGUAAAGAAUGAAGGUUUAUUUAGCUCAUGUUUCUGGAGGCUGGGAUGCCCAAGGUCAAGAGGUCAUAUUUAGUGGGGACUCGGUUCUCCUCAGAGUUAUUGGCAGCACCGGGCACCAGGUGGUAAGAGAGACACAUUACAGAGUCAGGGCAAACCUCCCCUGAGGCCAAUGAGGUGGCUCAGAACCUAAAGGCUUUUGCUACCAAACCUGAUUUGCUACCAAACCCAAGUUCAGUUUCCAGGACCUACAUGGUACAAGAGAAUUAGCUAUUGCAAGUUGCCCUCUGACAUGUGUGUGUGUGUGUGUGUGUGAUGGGAUGGGUUAGUAUGUGCAUAUGGACAUGUGCACACAUAUAACUAAAUAAAGGUAAAACUGCAAAAGAAAAGUGCUGCCCUGUAGGCAAGGAAUGUAGCUCAGGUGCUUUCCUGACAUGUAUGAGGUCCUGGGUUCACCUGACCUGGGUGAGGUGGCAUAUGCCUAUAUCCCAGUCAGGAGGAUCAGAAAUCCAGAGUCAUCUUCCAUGGCUACAUAGUGAAUAUGAGAACAAUCUGCAUUAGAGAACAUAUGUAUCCAAGGUAGGUCUUUGUGUGUGUGUGUGUGUGUGUGUGUGUGUGUGUGCACCUUGGAGAUAGCUCAAUAACUCAUCAUUCUAUGAGGCUUUUCAAGGUCCCCAUGACCCAGCCACUUCCCUGGGGUCUUAAUGGUCCUACUUCUGAAUAUCUUACAAUGGGGAUGAUGUUUAAGAACAAAAGUUGGUAGAGACAUUCGAACUACAGCUGCUACCAAACUCUUAGUCCCUCACGGACUGAAGGGCAAGGAAGAGAAAGAACAGGAUAGGCAGUCUUAUCUACCAACAGAUAUGGUGGACUUGGGAGCCUCAGGAGCCCAGGCUCUGGGCUCCACCCCCAGCUUUCACCUCAGUCACUCCUCAGAAAGAAAUGGAGGCAGCACUAUGCUGGCCUGCUGGUAGCUGUCUGAGGACAGCUUCCCCACUCUUUCUCUUUCCUAACUUUUCCACCCCAAGCUGCCCCUCUGGCCCUGCUCCCGCUGACUUGGGAUGCCACAGAGGGCCACCCACCCACUUGGGCUCACAAAAGCAGGCCUGUCUGCCUCUGAGCAGGGUAACACAUGGGGACAGGCCUGGGAGCCACACCACUCUCCUCUGGGGAAGUUGGGUCUAGAAGAAGAGACAGUGCUUUGUCACAAACAACCUCUCAGCCUAGACAGAGGCAGCAACAUGGAAGCCUGGGUCCAAGUAGGGCUGUGGGAUGGGGCAUGUCACUGUCCAAGACAAAUUAGACUCAAAGAGUCUGAACUAACUAAACUACCAUCUACUCUUUUGUGGUAAACCAGUUCAAGACAUUUACGUUCCCAUUGGAAACUGUUGCCCAUGUGUCUUGGAUCAGCCUAUGUGUUACAACCCCUUUGGGAGCCAAAGGACCCUUUCACAGGGGUCAAAUAUCAGAUAUCCUGCAUAUCAGAUAUUCACAUUAUGAUUCAUAACAGUAGAAAAAUUAUAGUUAUGAAGUAACAAUGAAAAUAAUUCUAUGGUUGGGGUCACCACAACAUGAGAAAUUGUAUUAAAGGGUCACAGCAUUAGGAAGGAUCACUGUUAUAGAUAAUAAGUACAAGAGAUGUGGGCACUAACAACUCUCAUACAACUCUCAUUUGUCAAAUCUCAGUGAAUGUGACUUAUGACAUGACCUUGGAGAGGCUGCUGUGGACUUCCCUGUCCAGUCAGUGAGCCCCUCUGUGGAGGCUAAUCAACAAGAAACCUGGCUGGACAUAGCAAGAGAAUAAAGCAGGGAUCAUAGCUAGAGACACAGGUUUCAAGGUGAGCUUCCUGGAAUCAAAACCACAAAGUCAGGCGUCUGCUCUGAGCUUACUCACCUGGCCUAUAAAAGUAAGCAACCACAGCUUUUGUUAUGGUUAUCGUCUUUGUUACCUGGUGAGGGGGAAGCAGUCACCCCAGAGCCAGGCUCACAAGCAAAGCAUACACUGUAGAACUCCUCUUAGGGCUGUUGUUUCAUUGUUAUGAUUAUUCAGGAUGGAUCAGGUAGUCUCUGUGUCCUUGGGAGUGGGUGAGAAGCUAAACCACACACACUGUAUUAGACUCUGCUAAGUGCCAUGAGGCCAGGACCAGGAGCUGAGGAUACGGGGCAGGCAGCUUUUGUGGAAAAUAAGGUGUCCCUGCCAGAGGACAAACAGGCUUUGUACAUGUGGGAACAGAAUAAAGGAAUCACUUGAACAAAGGUCCAUGGGAAAGCAGAGGGCAUCUCCCCAGCCUGAGGCCACUGAGCAGAGGGCUUAAAAGGGAUGGAUGUCCAGGUUAGCACAGGUUUGACAUUCGAUCAUAAAGGACCUCAAGUGAUGUCGUUCUCAGACAUGGCUGCAACUCAACAAAAGUGGGACUGGCAUAGAUAUUUUUGAGAAGAAAGUUUGGAGCAUGCUUCUGGAAAGAUUGCAGGAUUGUCUGCUGGAGGGUUCAACAGCAGGCAGAAGCCAUACAGAGACGGCCCUUAUACUUCUAUCUUUGAAAAGGUCACCCAUCUCCCAGCUCCUGCUGAAUGUCCAUCUUUUCUCUGUGUGUGUUUAUCUGAAGGUACACACACAUAUGUGUAUGGAGGUCAGAGGAAAACCUCAGGAGUCACCCUCUGGAAGGUCAUCCACCUCCUUUGAGACAGAGUCUCCUAGUGGCCUGGAGCUCAGUGGUUUGGUCAGGCUGGCUGGCCGCCAAGCACCAGGGGUCCUCCUCUAUCCACCUCCCCAGUGCCGGGAUUCCAAGCAUGCAUUUCCACACCUAGCCUUUUUAUGAGGGCGCUGGAGAUUGAACCCAUGUCCAUAUGCACGUGAGGCAAGCAGCUUGCCAACUGGCUAGCUCCCCAUCCUAAAGUUGUCUUCUUUGCUAGAUAGCACGCCAGUGUAGGUAUGUAUGGUUCCAAUACUGCCUUCUCACCAUUGUGUCUCAGGAGAGUCCCAGUUGGGUAAUAGUUUUUGAAUUAAAAUUGACCAAAAAAAAUUCAAAA